CUCUUAUCAUUAAUACAUAGCCUCCAUUAUUUUUUUCUGACUUGUAAUCUUCCCUCACUUCACGCGUACACACUCUCUUGUUGGUUUCUCUAUUCAAAAUCCUGGAGUGACCAUGGAUGCUUCUACACUGCGUCAAUCCAAACGACUUAAGAAGUCCACGCUGGUGUUCAAGGUGGCAGCCUGAUGCUGA
This is a long non-coding RNA of Ipomoea nil (Japanese morning glory), 190 nucleotides long. RefSeq lists it as uncharacterized. Lineage: Eukaryota; Viridiplantae; Streptophyta; Magnoliopsida; Solanales; Convolvulaceae. The transcript is spliced from 3 exons. The record is from RefSeq and is a predicted model, not a curated record.